RNAcentral lists this ribosomal RNA (300 nucleotides) under Triticum aestivum (bread wheat). RNAcentral's name for it is "partial small subunit ribosomal RNA". The record is from RNAcentral. Lineage: Eukaryota; Viridiplantae; Streptophyta; Magnoliopsida; Poales; Poaceae.
AUGUGUCUUGCCAUGCACUAUCUUUGCCGCACGGACUCAUUCUUACAUGAUGGACACUUUGUGUGCGCUAACCAUUAUAUUUCUGAGUGUCGCUUGUGUUUGGUCUUUUUGCAUGUCUAUCACUCCGGAGACACCUUGGAGUACUUGGAUUGCGCAAUGCCUUCAUCUACGUCCGACUACAAGUCUGUCCACGAUAACCGUUUCCAUGGUGAUGAGGAUCACGAUCCGAGGUCGGAUCUUUCCCAAGGGGGGGGGGAGAUAAUGCGUAGCAUCCCACAUUCAUCCCCAUGUACACUCUGA